RNAcentral lists this ribosomal RNA (492 nucleotides) under uncultured bacterium. Its description in RNAcentral is "partial 16S ribosomal RNA". It matches the Rfam family "Bacterial small subunit ribosomal RNA", at positions 29 to 507 of the family's 1533-position model. The record is from RNAcentral.
AGUGAACGCUGGCGGUAGGCCUAACACAUGCAAGUCGAACGGCAGCACAGUAAGAGCUUGCUCUUACGGGUGGCGAGUGGCGGACGGGUGAGGAAUACAUCGGAAUCUACUUUUUCGUGGGGGAUAACGUAGGGAAACUUACGCUAAUACCGCAUACGACCUACGGGUGAAAGCAGGGGAUCUUCGGACCUUGCGCGAUUGAAUGAGCCGAUGUCGGAUUAGCUAGUUGGCGGGGUAAAGGCCCACCAAGGCGACGAUCCGUAGCUGGUCUGAGAGGAUGAUCAGCCACCCUGGAACUGGGACACGGUCCAGACUCCUACGGGAGGCAGCAGUGGGGAAUAUUGGACAAUGGGCGCAAGCCUGAUCCAGCCAUACCGCGUGUGUGGAGGAGGCCUUCGGGUUGUAAAGCCCUUUUGUUGGGAAAGAAAAGCAGCAGGUUAAUACCCCGCUGUUCUGACGGUACCCAAAGAAUAAGCACCGGCUAACUUCGUG